UCCCAGCCCCUACCUUUCAAUUUUUAAGAGAAGUCAAAUAGGCUAUGUUUUGACACAGGCUUUGAGAAUUACAACUCAAGAUAUUGUAACUACAAUGCCAGCUUCUCAACACUUGAAUGUGGCCCGUUCUGUUACCUAGGCCUGGAAUCCCCAUAUUUCUUCCAGAUUAUCACUAGAAUACCCAUGUCAAUUUCUGAGCCCAUAAAGAGUCCACGAGCGACUUCAUUGCAGAUUCCUAGGUGAGUAAUCCCCUUUUCGCUCUCCGCAGCACAUCUGGGGAUCUUACUGGAAAGAAGGCCGAUGGGGAUACAAAUGCUGUCACUCGUUCUUCAAGUAUUCCUACUGCACUGGAGAAGCUGGGAAGGAGACUGCUAACGCCGAGGAGUGCGUGAUAAGUGAUGAGACUGGAGAAGAGUCGGUGAAGAAACCACAGACGCUCGUGGAGAUGCACCAAGAAAAACUAAAGGAAGAGAAGAAGAAGAAGAAAAAGAAGAAGAAGCACCGGAAGAGCAGCUCUGACAGCGAUGACGAAGAGAAGAAACAGGAGAAGCUGAAGAAGGUGUGUAAGGAAGUAUCCGUGUCACACAGAGUCCUGUGUGAUCUCGCCCUGCCUGCCCCUGGCUCGGCUCUGCGUGGAUCACAGGAGAGUUGUGGUCUAGACACCGGCUCCUCCUUGCAGUGCUGAAUAAGUAUUGCUCGUGCUCACCUGAAGACAUGUGCUUUGUGUUUUGUUGUUUGUUUAUUU
Molecule: long non-coding RNA, 745 nt
Organism: Dipodomys ordii (Ord's kangaroo rat)
Lineage: Eukaryota; Metazoa; Chordata; Mammalia; Rodentia; Heteromyidae
Exons: 3
Source: RefSeq, a predicted model, not a curated record